CCCCCGUGCAGGAAGAAGGUCCUCUGGAUUGUAAACUGCUUUUCUUGGGGAAGAAAACCCUUCUGCGGAAGGAAUUGACGGUACUCAAGGAAUAAGCAUCGGCUAACUCCGUGCCAGCAGCCGCGGUAAUACGGAGGAUGCGAGCGUUGUCCGGAUUUACUGGGUUUAAAGGGUGCGUAGGCGGGCGAUUAAGUGAGAAUUGAGAGGCAGUCGCUCAACGAUUGUAAGGUUCUCAUACUGGUUGUCCUGAGAGUAGUGGAGGCAGAUGGAAUGAGUGGAGUAGCGGUGAAAUGCAUAUAUACCACUUGGAACACCGAUUGCGAAGGCAGUCUGCUACGCUAUAUCUGACGCUGAGG
Molecule: ribosomal RNA, 356 nt
Filed under: uncultured bacterium
Lineage: Bacteria
Description: bacterial SSU rRNA
Rfam family: Bacterial small subunit ribosomal RNA
Source: RNAcentral